Molecule: ribosomal RNA, 389 nt
Filed under: uncultured bacterium
Lineage: Bacteria
Description: bacterial SSU rRNA
Rfam family: Bacterial small subunit ribosomal RNA
Source: RNAcentral
AUUGAACGCUGGCGGCAUGCCUUACACAUGCAAGUCGAACGGCAGCGCGGGGCAACCUGGCGGCGAGUGGCGAACGGGUGAGUAAUAUAUCGGAACAUACCCUAGAGUGGGGGAUAACGUAGCGAAAGUUACGCUAAUACCGCAUACGCACUAAGGUGGAAAGUGGGGGAUCUUCGGACCUCAUGCUCAUGGAGUGGCCGAUAUCUGAUUAGCUAGUUGGUGAGGUAAAGGCUCAUCAAGGCGACGAUCAGUAGCUGGUUUGAGAGAACGACCAGCCACACUGGAACUGAGACACGGUCCAGACUCCUACGGGAGGCAGCAGUGGGGAAUUUUGGGACAAUGGGGGCAACCCUGAUCCAGCAAUGCCGCGUGAGUGAAGAAGGCCUCGG